RNAcentral lists this ribosomal RNA (465 nucleotides) under uncultured bacterium. RNAcentral describes it as "partial 16S ribosomal RNA". It matches the Rfam family "Bacterial small subunit ribosomal RNA", at positions 28 to 507 of the family's 1533-position model. The record is from RNAcentral.
GACGAACGCUGGCGGCGUGCUUAACACAUGCAAGUCGAACGGAAAGGCCCUGCUUGCCGGCUACUCGAGUGGCGAACGGGCGAGUAACACGUGGGUGAGUUGCCCUGCACUUCGGGAUAAGCCUGGUAAACUGGGUCUAGUACCGGACAGGAGCCUCUUUUAGCGUGAUGGUUGGAAAGUUUUUUCGGUGUAGGAUGAGCUCGCGGCCUAUCAGCUUGUUGGGGGGGUAAUGGCCUACCAAGGCGGCGGCGGGUAGCCGGCCUGAGAGGGUGGACGGCCACAUUGGGACUGAGGUGCGGCCCAGACUCGUACUGGAGGCAGCAGUGGGGAAUAUUGCACAAUGGGCGCCAGCCUGAUGCAGCGACGCUGCGUGUGGGAGGACGGCCUUCGGGUUGUAAACUCCUUUCGCUAGGAACGAAGCUUUUUGUGACGGUACCUAGAGAAGAAGCACCGGCUAACUACGUG